Molecule: ribosomal RNA, 497 nt
Filed under: uncultured bacterium
Lineage: Bacteria
Description: partial 16S ribosomal RNA
Rfam family: Bacterial small subunit ribosomal RNA
Source: RNAcentral
GAUGAACGCUGGCGGCGUGCCUAAUACAUGCCAGUCGAGCGAACGGACGAGAAGCUUGCUUCUCUGAUGUUAGCGGCGGACGGGUGAGUAACACGUGGAUAACCUACCUAUAAGACUGGGAUAACUUCGGGAAACCGGAGCUAAUACCGGAUGAUAUUUUGAACCGCAUGGUUCAAAAGUGAAAGACGGUCUUGCUGUCACUUAUAGAUGGAUCCGCGCUGCAUUAGCUAGUUGGUAAGGUAACGGCUUACCAAGGCAACGAUGCAUAGCCGACCUGAGAGGGUGAUCGGCCACCCUGGAACUGAGACACGGUCCAGACUCCUACGGGAGGCAGCAGUAGGGAAUCUUCCGCAAUGGGCGAAAGCCUGACGGAGCAACGCCGCGUGAGUGAUGAAGGUCUUCGGAUCGUAAAACUCUGUUAUUAGGGAAGAACAUAUGUGUAAGUAACUGUGCACAUCUUGACGGUACCUAAUCAGAAAGCCACGGCUAACUACGUG